Molecule: long non-coding RNA, 1056 nt
Organism: Oncorhynchus tshawytscha (Chinook salmon)
Lineage: Eukaryota; Metazoa; Chordata; Actinopteri; Salmoniformes; Salmonidae
Source: Ensembl
CAGGAAUCCACUAUGAGUGUGGUUUUUAUAAGAGUUAUUUGUUCAUAAAAUAUACAAGAAAUUGGAGAGAAAUUAUCUUUUUAUGUGAAAGUAAAUUGGAUUUCUAUAUGGUGGUAUAAUUAUGCUUCGGAAGAUAUUUUCAUGCUUGCCUUUGUAUAAAGUACAUGGCAUAAUUUUCAAAACUGCCUCAAAACUGGCAACAAAAAAAAAUCUAGUUAUGUAGCAAUUUAUCAACAAGUCUCUUACAUUAUCAAGCUUAUUUUUGACAACAGAGCAACUGUAAAGGGAUAUUUGUUUCUCGUCCAGCACACCACUGGUUACUGUAACUGAAAUAGGGUUGCACAAUUCAGGUAACUUUCCAAAAGUUCCCAGGGUUUUCAGAAAUCCUUGUUUGGAAGAGGGAGGGGAUAAGCAGAACAUUCGGAAUCCUCCAACCAGGAUUUAUGGAAAACUUGGGGACUUUGGCCAAGUUGCCGUCAUUUGGCCAUGCUUAACGGAAAUAGAUGUUUUAUGACCACUAAGAGAAACAGGCUGAAUUUUCAUAGGAGAGGCUGUUUAGCAUCUUCACCCAAACCUUCGCUGGCAUCGCUGUGCCAAUCAGCUUCCCCUCAUAUCCAUUACUGAGUACAACUUGUAUGUCUCCUGCCUUGUAUGUUGUGUUGUUUUGAAUGCUUGCAGUUUCACUUGUCAUCUAUACACUACAGGCCAGGGUGUCAGUAAGGGUGUCAGUAAGGGAUUUGUCACCAUGUUUAGAUUCAUAUGGAUGUUCUAAGUUGUUAUUGGAAGGGCCAUGAGGUUUUCCUGAUGUUUUCACUGUCCAUAGUGAUUUCUGGUCAGGAAAACCUACUGACCCUAGUUAUACUGAACAACCACCCCAAUAGUUCUCCCCUCUUCAUUCCUAGCUUUCAUAAACAUCUUGUUGAAACAACACCACUGUUCCCCUGCUACUCUCAGUAUAUCUGUUGUGUGUUUUAUGUUGGCAUCACUUUUUGUAAAGAGAUGGGUUUUUUUUUAUGAAAACGUUUGAGAAAAAGUUAAUAAAAUGUUUGAAGCAGA